GACGUAGGUGGCGAGCGUUAUCCGGAUUUACUGGGCGUAAAGCGCGUGCAGGUGGUUUGAUAAGUCGGGCGUGAAAUCUCCUGGCUCAACUGGGAGAGGCCGUCCGAUACUAUCAGACUUGAGGGCAGUAGAGGGAGGUGGAAUUCCGGGUGUAGUGGUGAAAUGCGUAGAUAUCCGGAGGAACACCAGUGGCGAAGGCGGCCUCCUGGACUGCCCCUGACACUCAGACGCGAAAGCUAGGGGAGCGAACGGG
RNAcentral lists this ribosomal RNA (253 nucleotides) under uncultured bacterium. RNAcentral describes it as "partial 16S ribosomal RNA". It matches the Rfam family "Bacterial small subunit ribosomal RNA", at positions 524 to 776 of the family's 1533-position model. The record is from RNAcentral.